Molecule: non-coding RNA, 2700 nt
Organism: Triticum urartu
Lineage: Eukaryota; Viridiplantae; Streptophyta; Magnoliopsida; Poales; Poaceae
Source: RefSeq, a predicted model, not a curated record
CCCGCCCGCCGGGGCCAGGCGCGGCGGCUCGAUGGUGAGCGCGAUGGAUCUCGAGCUAGCUCGGGCGCGUGGACACGUUGGUGAGCGCGCCAGCGGCCGUGGCGAGCUCGAGCCCGGGAUAAACCUAGCAUCCUGGUCGCCAUGGACGCCGGCGCUGCACCUGCGCCGCUGGUUGGUCCUCUCCGACACCGUCCGGGCCCUCCUGCACUGCAUCACCCUCCUACCGCGCCUACUAGACCUACAGGAAGUGCUCAUGUAUCAAAUUCCAGUUGUUACUCAACCUGUAGUGGAUUCCAUUUGCUGAAGAUAUCUUCCAUUGUCACCAGUGCAUCCUUCUAUCUGGCCUUCACGGAUCAGUGGUGCUGCUGUGUGAAUUUGUGCCGCUGUGUCGAAUUGGGCGGAGGCUUCCCUGUCAAGAAGAAGGUGCAGAGAAGCGUUGGGCACUUCAGUGCAGGCAAGGUGGUUGCCCAUGUCCUGGAGGCUAAGAUGUUGGCUUUUGUAGCAGCAGAUUCCCUAUGUAUCUAUCAAGAUGGGAUAUUCAGGUCGCUCUGCGUAGUGGGUGCCUCAUCAUUUACAGGAAAGCUAUUAAUUCUAGGAAGCGAUUGCGUGCUCAUGUAGGACUUGAUGAAGGAGAGGUAUGUCCCAAGUGAACUGGAUUAUUAUGAUGAUUUCGUCGAUUCAUACUCCUUUUUAUCCUGAAAUAAAUGGCUUUCACCUUUGGGCAGUUUAAGUGAUGGAAGAUAUUGUUUCAAUGAUAUUGAAGCUAUUUAGAUACUAUGGCAGUUAAGGUUCAUUUGAAGUCGCGGAUGGAUGCAUGAUUUAUGCAGAAAUGUAUAAGUGCCAUGUAGUGGUUAAUUAGAGGUGUAUGGAAGUACAAGUACGCUGUGGCUAAUUUGUUCCCUCUUUUAUUGUUGUUACCGUGUCCUAUCUCAGGUGUUCUUCGACUAAAAUCAGGCUGCUCCUGCCAUGUCUACCAGUGAAAUGCCUCCUUCCAUGAUAAAGCAGCCUACUCUUAGGUACAGAUCUUGGUGUUGAUUCUGCCUCACCUUUCCAGCCGGCAGUGGUUCGGUUUGCUGCAGGUUUCCUCGGUGUUCAGGCAGCACCCCUCCCCCAUUUAUUUUACUUAGGUUUGAUGCAUUUUAGGUAUUGUUUGUUGUCGAACGGAUUCAGAACCGUUGUACUGGCAUAACAAAAAUAGAUGGUGAUGUAUCGACACAUUCCAAGUUUAGAAUUACUUUAUUAUGUAAAACAAAGAUAAUCCUUGGUAGAAAUAUAUUGUCAAAUGUGUGCUGCAAUUGUAAUUAGAGAUCGAGGUCGGAUCAGUAUUUUGGUUUUUGUAUUAGCAAUUUCUUAGUGCCUUUCUUAGUGUGUGUACAGUCCUUCAUAGAUGUUUACUUUGGUGCCUGCUACUGGUUAUAGUCAUAGGGAUGAUAUUUACCUUACUAAAAGGGCAAUGGCUCAUUACAUUGUUAAUUCCAGUUGUUUGGUUCAGUGCCGUACAAUAUGAUGCAGAAAACACAAUAGUGGUUUUUAUUCAGAGAAAGCACUUGAUAGGUAACUCUCCUACUCCUUCGUUGCCCUCCUCUCCAUCCAGUCCUGCCGGAGCCCCGACGGCGGCGGCUCCCUCCAUCUUCCCUUGCUCAUCUUCCGUCACGUAGGCGACCUGCGCCCUCCGCUCAGGCUGCUCUCUCUCUCUCUCUCUGCAUACCGGAGACAGCACGACUUGAGUCUCUUCUAAUCCCUCCCCUUCUUUCUUUGGGUAACAUGAGAAUAGUACAGAAAUCAUACGAGUAGAUUGCAGCCGAACCAAAUACUGCUUGUGCAUUAAACAUGAUUUAUUUCACUGGGUUGUUAGCACUGUCUCCUAGAUGCAAUGCUCCUCUGCUUUCUUCCUAUCUCACCAAUGGAUUCAUUUGGACUAAGAAAAUGUGCUCUUUUUUGAAUCCGUGAUGCCACUACUUUCUGCUGUGAAGUACUCUAGUGAUUCUUACAUGAUUUCCAUACAUCAGACUGUGUCAUAUGUGACCUUUUGCUUUACUAUGAUGUUUAAUUAAUGUAAGAUGCAAUUUUUUUCGAAAUAUCAACGAUUAGGUGAUGCUUAUUUAGGCCUGAAACCUUUAACUUGCCAAAUUUUUAUACAUAGGUGACCUCUCCGACCUUUUCUACUUCUAGGGAUGAUGAUGGUUUUGAAAUUAUGAUCAGAUACUUAUUAAGUUCUAUUUUUUCUUGUGCUCAUGUUUCUAUCCUAAUCCAAGGAACUGGUUCUUUUUAUUUUGUGGAUCAGGUACUUCAUGGCAGCGCUGUGGACAGCAUCACCAUAACCACAUUGAUGGUCCAAGCCCCAACUCACGACAUCAUUUUUAGUUGGGUUGUGAGCACCUCAACAACUCAACAACAAAUAUACUUGAUGUGUAGCCGCAUAUACUACAUCAUCACCGACAUCAUUUCUAUGACAUGCUCAAAGUGAUGUAAUUAACCAAACCAUUACUGUUAUUAGUGCUUAGUUCCUCCUAUAUCUUCGAGAAAUUCUAAUGAUGGAAUGAAUGGACUAUAUUUCCUUCAAUCAGUGGAAUAUAUAUUGUGUAACCAGUAGUGGACUGGGUGGUGCUACCAUCGUGCUUUGCUAUUCAUGUAACAACCUGAAUCGAAUAUGAAUCGCGUUCUACCAAGUUGGAUAUAAUGUCACUGCAUUGUAAAUUA